CGGCGCCCCUCACGUCUCCACGCGGGAAAGUUGCUUCCUGACUCUGAGCUCUCCCCCGGCUCGGGCAGCCGAGUGCAGUGAUCAUUCCCGAUCCCAAAAGCGUCUCUACGCCCCUUGGGGAGUGCGAAGAGUGCAGCGUCCUUGGAAGCCAGCUUUGAGCAAGGCACCUGACCUUCCAGGACUUGAGGAGGCGCCUCAGAGAAACCCUGCCUCACUGUCUGCUCGCGUCUCAGACAUCUGUCUACAUGGAGUCUACAGACCUUCUUUGGGAAGAGGAAUCGUAGGAGAACUAUUGACUUUCUUCAAGCAGUAUCAUGGCUGGAUUUGUGUUUUAGGAUAAUCUCCUUGGCUCCUGUGUGGGGUAGAUUCAGAAGGACCUAGGGGAAGGAGUGAUUCAUCUGAAGAAGCAGACAGAGUUCAUCAGUCAGCAUGGGGGAGGGGAGCUGAUCGUUCCACCACAGGGAACACCAGAAGUGGAGUGUGGAGGCCCUGGUGAGCAGGCUUGUGGUGCACUGUGGUGAGGGCAGAAUCCAAGAAGGAGCGGGGCAUUUUCCUUGAGGGACAGGAGAAUCAUCAGAGUCCUAUAAGCUCAUCAAAUUUAGAGGGAUGAUUGUGACAGUGGAGUGGAAGUUUGGGGCUUACAUAGAGGUAUAUUUCAUCACUGCAUGUGACAAAUAAUAAUAGUUCAUGAUAUUUAUAGAGCCUUCUGAGCACUGUAUGUGCACUGUAUCAUUUAACCACCACAAAAGUCUGCUAAGAUACAUACUAUUAUUACUGAGAAGCCAUAGAAUUUCAUUAUCAUGAAGCCAUGCUUUGAAGCUAAACCAUUUGGGUUAAAAUCUUGACUCCACACUUAAUUAAAUGUGUACUUUUAGGCAGGUAACUUUCCAUAAUGCAGUUUUCUUCCGUUUAUAAUGGGGUAAUAAAAGUGCCAGGAUGAUGGGGUUGUAGAAAGGA
This 957-nucleotide long non-coding RNA is filed under the name Felis catus (domestic cat). Its description in RNAcentral is "lncRNA (ENSFCAG00000046578.2)". Lineage: Eukaryota; Metazoa; Chordata; Mammalia; Carnivora; Felidae. The record is from RNAcentral.